Long non-coding RNA from Arabidopsis lyrata subsp. lyrata, 1122 nucleotides. RefSeq lists it as uncharacterized. Lineage: Eukaryota; Viridiplantae; Streptophyta; Magnoliopsida; Brassicales; Brassicaceae. The record is from RefSeq and is a predicted model, not a curated record. The transcript has 3 exons.
UGACCGUCCAAUAGAAAGAAAUUCAAUAUCAUAGAAGGUAUGCAGAUAUAUAAAAUACGUUUAGCUCGAUAUUUGAGGCUUAUACAUUGGCAUGAUCAAAAUAGAAAUUUGGUUUCAAUAGUUUAUUUUUGUUUUUAAUUUAAAAUUUAUUGUAUAUAUCUCUCAUGAAUGUGGCCAAACAAAUAUUGGUUUCAAUAGUUAACUGUGCUUUUUCUUUCUAGCCAGAUUAAGAUAAAUGCUUCGACUCUUGGAAGUAUGCAAACACUUGAUGUUGGAUGCAGAACUACGUUUUAUGUUUUCUACACAUAUAUGGCAGAAUAUAUUGGGUUCAAGUUUUCAAACAUAGAACCGAGAAAUCAGAAAAGCAAAACUUUUAUAUUUUUAAGCCGAAUUUCAUAUUCAUCGUCCUCUACUACAUGAGCAGUGUUGGUAAUGUUUAGAUUUCAUGUUGUACUUAUGAAUUGGUGCAGGAUUUGGAUGAACUGAAUAGUGGUAGAGAGAUGGUUUAAGAGAGAAUCCAAACUCACUUAACUUGAUCGAAGUCAUAUCAAGAUACUGAAUGUGGUGCUGUUGAUGCUUCUAAUGGCCCCAUUAAUACACAUGUCUAUGGUGGAGGAUGGGCAAAACUUGGAUUAUAAUCAUCACUACUCAUUUGCGCCUUGCAACUUCUUGCAUAGACCAAAGCCUAUGUUUGGUCUGGAAGGUCGUCAAGAAGAAGAAGAAUGUGGUGUCAAUGCUUAUCUGGAACAUCGACGUAGGCUUCCUCUCUUCCCUAUGCACGGUGAAGAUCACCUCAACGGUGAUAGCGGUGCUAUCUGGAAGUAUGGCCAAUCGAACGAUCGUGAUUGUUUUAGUAGAGACUCUUGUGCUUCUCUUGAGCUACGUAUGAACUAGACACCGUUAUACACAUACAAAGACUUAUUUGGAGAAGACAUCUUCGCUAAUACGUGUACGAAUAUGAACUUUGGUUGGUAUUCAAGUAAGGCAUCUCUUUUUUUGGUAUGGAGUAAAGCAACUCUUUUAGUUGUGUGCAUUGUUUUACUUUUUUUUUAAGAGUUGUGCGAUAUUUUAAUAAAUAGUUUAUUGUCCAUUAUAAAACGGAGUCCGUAUAACUUUUUGUGA